Molecule: long non-coding RNA, 298 nt
Filed under: Populus trichocarpa (black cottonwood)
Lineage: Eukaryota; Viridiplantae; Streptophyta; Magnoliopsida; Malpighiales; Salicaceae
Description: long non-coding RNA (PTRI_LNC001552)
Source: RNAcentral
CGCCACCUACAAAAACCAAAAACCAGAACAAUCACACAAACAAAUCUGUCGGUUUUAUUUUUUUUUCCUCAGAUUUGCCUCUCUUUUUCUCUACUAUAACUUAUAUUUUUAUGUUUUCAGAUUUACUCCUCUCUAUUAUCUGUAAAUGAGGGUUUUGUGGAUGGAGAGAGGCUAACGACGCUGCCACAGGUAGGGGUGAGCAAAAAAAUCAAAAAACCGAUUAAACCGAGAAAACUGGAAAAAAAUAACCGAAAAAACCAAACCGUGAAAAAAAAACCGAUUAAACCGAUUAGAAUUU